This 394-nucleotide ribosomal RNA is filed under the name uncultured fungus. RNAcentral's name for it is "SSU rRNA". It matches the Rfam family "Eukaryotic small subunit ribosomal RNA", at positions 251 to 646 of the family's 1831-position model. The record is from RNAcentral. Lineage: Eukaryota; Fungi.
UCAUAAUAACUUAACGAAUCGCAUGGCUUGUGCCGGCGAUGGUUCAUUCAAAUUUCUGCCCUAUCAACUUUCGAUGGUAGAGUAGUGGUCUACCAGUGGUUUCAACGGGUAACGGGGAAUUAGGGUUCUAUUCCGGAGAGGGAGCCUGAGAAACGGCUACCACAUCCAAGGAGGGCAGCAGGCGCGCAAAUUACCCAAUCCCGAACGGGGAGGUAGUGACAAUAAAUACUGAUACAGGGCUCUUUUGGGUCUUGUAAUUGGAAUGAGUACAAUUUAAAUCCCUUAACGAGGAAAAUUGGAGGGCAAGUCUGGUGCCAGCAGCCGCGGUAAUUCCAGAUCCAAUAGCGUAUAUUAAAGUUGUUGCAGUUAAAAAGCUCGUAGUUGAACCUUGGGC